This 420-nucleotide ribosomal RNA is filed under the name uncultured bacterium. Its description in RNAcentral is "bacterial SSU rRNA". It matches the Rfam family "Bacterial small subunit ribosomal RNA", at positions 31 to 496 of the family's 1533-position model. The record is from RNAcentral.
GUACGCUGGCGGCACGCCUUAUACAUGCAAGUCGAACGAAGUAGCAAUACUUAGUGGCAGACGGGUGAGUAACAUGUAGGUAUCUUCCCUUUGGUGAGGAAUAACACGAGGAAACUUGUGCUAAUACCUCAUAAGUCUUUACAGAGAAAGCUUUAUGCGCCGAAGGAUGAGCCUGCACUUGAUUAGUUUGUUGGUGGGGUAAUGGCCUACCAAGACUUUGAUCUAUAGCUGAUCUGAGAGGAUGAUCAGCCACAUUGGGACUGAGACACGGCCCAAACUCCUACGGGAGGCAGCAGUAGGGAAUAUUGCACAAUGGAGGAAACUCUGAUGCAGCGAUGCCGCGUGAGUGAAGAAGGCCUUUGGGUUGUAAAGCUCUUUCGUCGGGGAAGAAAAUGACUGUACCCGAAUAAGAAGGUCCGG